This 282-nucleotide long non-coding RNA is filed under the name Elaeis guineensis (African oil palm). Its description in RNAcentral is "long non-coding RNA (EGUI_LNC058266)". Lineage: Eukaryota; Viridiplantae; Streptophyta; Magnoliopsida; Arecales; Arecaceae. The record is from RNAcentral.
AAGUCCGAUCAAAGGCCUGCGACUUCAUCGAAGUGCUAGCUUCCUUACAGAAGAUGCCUCCUGAUGGUUGAUUGGAGAUCCUCUUCACAUCUCUCAGACUCUCUUAGAGAAGAAGAAGAUUAGAAAAAGAAAAAAGAGGAGGAUGAAGAAUAAGAAUACUCUCUUCUUUUCUUCCUAGAACCCACACAUAAGAUCCCUACACUAGAGAUCUAUCACGCUUGAGAAAAGAACUCUUCUUUUCUCUCAUGCCUAAGAAGAACUUUUUUUUUCUUUUUUCACACA